CUCAGAGACAAAUUGCAGGCGCUAUGAACCGGAGCAAGGACUAAUCUCGCCUCAUAAUGAGGCGGUGACCUCCUAUUUGCUCUGAGCAAUAUAUGCAAGUCCAGAUUUACACGAUGUUGAUAAAGACGACAUUGUGUCCGCUUGUAAGACGUAUUAUGAGAUGGUACGCAGGAGCUGAAGCUGCCAAGAGUUCAGCUCGGAGUCGAGCUAGAAGAAAGAGGCUGCUGGAAUCGAGGCAGAGUGUGCAGGCGGGUGAGGAAGUGGAACUCUGGAAGUCCGCCACCGUCGACCUCAUGUCUGGCGAAGAAGAUGGCGUCGUUGGCGGAGUCUCCGGAUGGAUUGUACGGCCGCCGUCAUUUCGUAGGGUUGUGCGCAAUUCUGUUCCCCCGUGAAAAUCUGUUUCCCCCGUGUCGGGAAUGCGCUU
Fundulus heteroclitus (mummichog) is the source of this 424-nucleotide long non-coding RNA. RefSeq lists it as uncharacterized. NCBI's taxonomy places the organism in Eukaryota, Metazoa, Chordata, Actinopteri, Cyprinodontiformes, Fundulidae. The transcript is spliced from 4 exons. The record is from RefSeq and is a predicted model, not a curated record.